CCUACGGGGGGCAGCAGUGGGGAAUAUUGGGCAAUGGGCGCAAGCCUGACACAGCAACGCCGCGUGAAGGAAGAAGGCUUUCGGGUUGUAAACUUCUUUUAAGGGGGAAGAGCAGAAGACGGUACCCCUUGAAUAAGCCACGGCUAACUACGUGCCAGCAGCCGCGGUAAUACGUAGGUGGCAAGCGUUGUCCGGAUUUACUGGGUGUAAAGGGCGUGCAGCCGGAGAGACAAGUCAGAUGUGAAAUCCACGGGCUCAACCCGUGAACUGCAUUUGAAACUGUUUCCCUUGAGUGUCGGAGAGGUAAUCGGAAUUCCUUGUGUAGCGGUGAAAUGCGUAGAUAUAAGGAAGAACACCAGUGGCGAAGGCGGAUUACUGGACGAUAACUGACGGUGAGGCGCGAAAGCGUGGGGAGCAAACAGGAUUAGAUACCCCUGUAGUC
Molecule: ribosomal RNA, 442 nt
Filed under: uncultured bacterium
Lineage: Bacteria
Description: partial 16S ribosomal RNA
Rfam family: Bacterial small subunit ribosomal RNA
Source: RNAcentral